Molecule: long non-coding RNA, 1374 nt
Organism: Pseudophryne corroboree (corroboree frog)
Lineage: Eukaryota; Metazoa; Chordata; Amphibia; Anura; Myobatrachidae
Exons: 2
Source: RefSeq, a predicted model, not a curated record
GGUCGGCCAAUGCUACCUGUCCUGGAGGUCUCAUGGGAAGGAGGACGGGGGUCAGCUCAGCCGCUGCGUGUCACAGGAGCUACUGGCCAGAAGAGGAUUGGUCCGCCAGGAAGGUGUCCGUGUUCCCUGUGGACCGGUCACGUGUUGUCCUCUGCCGGGCCAGCUAGUGGUGCUUGAUGUGGAGUGCUGCUUAAUAUUUUUUAUUUAUUUAUUUUAAAAAGGGGGCGGGUCCACAGCUCCGUGAUUAGGCCACGCCCCCAACUUUGCCAGGCCUCGGCCGUUCUGUCUGCAGCCCUGCUUGAGAGUGGCUCCCGCAGUGACAGUCACUCGACUUGGAGAGACCGCUGAUUGGAACACGACCAGUGAUGUAUUGCCACGGCUACAGCAUCCGGAUGAAUGAAAACACGUUACUACACACAGGCUCGUGGAUUCAGGAACAACUUUUGUUUGCGUUCCACCACUGUCCGAAAUGACACGCAAGCACUUCCGGCAUGAUAAUCAUGUCAUUUCCGGGUAAUGUCAGCUGAUCAGUGUGAGACUCCACACAUAUAGCGGCUAGACGGAGCCUGCACCAGUGACCGAGAGUAACCACGGCAACCCCACCCGGUCAAAACGUCACUUCCGGACACACAUUACCAUAGCAACCCGAUAUUUCGGCCUAAUGGGCAGGAACAUACUUCUCUCCCUUUAAUUACGGACUUGUGAAACUAUAGGACUUCUGGCACAUGAUAUACUUGUGCACAGUUUAAUAAUCAUGUUUUUGUUGUUUCCAUUCAUACCGGAUGUAGCCAUGGCAACGGGCCAUUUCCAUGUUACUAAGAGCUAUAAUUAUAGUAAAAUAUUUAAAUAAUGCCUGCAAUAUAAAAAACCAUUAAGUGAGGAUAUAAAUCUGGACAAUUUAUGUGAAAUUGUAUAAAAAUGAAGAGGUUUUUAUGUUAUAUAAUUGUACCAGUAUGAAGUCAUUUCCUGUGUAUGAUGAUUGGCUGUUCAUAGUUUAAAUACUGGGUGCUUCACACUCCACCCAUGUCUUGAUAAAGGUCAGUUGGUGACCGAAAUGCAUUGACGACAGAAGGAGUGUGAACAGCCAGCUUUUCUUCCACACCACCCCAAUACAUCUUUGCUGACUCUGGUAAGAAGGCGACCCUUUUUUUUGAUCACCGGUAUUGCUUUCCAACCAUUCCAGAGAUCAGCUGGGGUGUGUAUGGUAAUUUUCACUUUUAUUUUAUUUUUUACUUCAUUUUAUCUGUGGUGCAUUUUUCCUGCAAUCUUUUUUCACCUGUGGAAUUGCUUUGGAUUGCACCUUGUGUUUUAAAUUGUUGGAUCUUCCCAGAUUGUGGGACCCCUUUUUGUACAAUAAAACUUUGCCAUUUUUUA